Molecule: non-coding RNA, 105 nt
Organism: Paramuricea clavata
Lineage: Eukaryota; Metazoa; Cnidaria; Anthozoa; Malacalcyonacea; Plexauridae
Source: the annotation of a GenBank genome assembly
CUCGCGCGUGGCGUUCGGGCAUGCAUCGAGUCUACUCAGUUUAUUAUUAUGACAUCAUAAUAAUAAACUGAGUAGACUCGAUGCACGCCCGAGCGCCACGCGCGA